AGAGUUUGAUCCUGGCUCAGAUUGAACGCUGGCGGCAGGCCUAACACAUGCAAGUCGAGCGGCAGCGGGAAAGUAGCUUGCUACUUUUGCCGGCGAGCGGCGGACGGGUGAGUAAUGCCUGGGGAUCUGCCCAGUCGAGGGGGAUAACAGUUGGAAACGACUGCUAAUACCGCAUACGCCCUACGGGGGAAAGSAGGGGACCUUCGGGCCUUKCGCGAUUGGAUGAACCCAGGUGGGAUUAGCUAGUUGGUGGGGUAAUGGCUCACCAAGGCGACGAUCCCUAGCUGGUCUGAGAGGAUGAUCAGCCACACUGGAACUGAGACACGGUCCAGACUCCUACGGGAGGCAGCAGUGGGGAAUAUUGCACAAUGGGGGAAACCCUGAUGCAGCCAUGCCGCGUGUGUGAAGAAGGCCUUCGGGUUGUAAAGCACUUUCAGCGAGGAGGAAAGGUUGAUGCCUAAUACGCAUCAGCUGUGACGUACUCGCAGAAGA
Molecule: ribosomal RNA, 492 nt
Filed under: Aeromonas sp. AKB-2008-HE157
Lineage: Bacteria; Pseudomonadati; Pseudomonadota; Gammaproteobacteria; Aeromonadales; Aeromonadaceae
Description: bacterial SSU rRNA
Rfam family: Bacterial small subunit ribosomal RNA
Source: RNAcentral